UGUCCAUUUCACAUUCGUUAGAUCCAUUUGCCUCUAGUUAGGGAGACACAUCCUUAAAAUGGUGGCUUUAGGAAGCUUCCCGCAGAGUUUCUUUCGUGUGGCAAUGUGUGUAGCAGGUAUACUGAGCUUCUGUUUCCUUCCAGGAGAAGGAGAAGGGGCACUUACCCAGGAGUACCGAACACUCUCAGCCUGCUCUCUUGGUCUCCUUCAUGUCUGUUUCUGCCCUGCUGAUUUUCUGCCUUCAGAAACAAAGAAGAAUCCAGCUUUUCUUCAUGAUGCAGGAUGUUGUAUAUACUUGGAGCCAUCCUCAGUCACAGCUGCCCCUUCAUGAUUCCAAGAGAUAACUGGGUUUCUGAACACUGAGCAUCAACAUCUCCAGUCUCAUCAUGGGAGACACUCAUCCAGAAGCAAAUCUCAGCCAACGGGAGUGGAGCCAACGUGGGAGGCUGCAACUGCAGUAAGAUUGCCACCAUUCAGGGACCAGCCAGGAUCUCAUGCCUACUGCUGCUUUGGUGGCUAUGAUGGACCAUUUCAACAGGUGACCACACGGAGAAUUGAACAACAUAUUCUUAUGGAAACAGCACCUGUACAGGGAAAGGCAGGGCAUGUGGGGAAACACAGGAAACAACACAGAGGCAGAAGCAGCACUUGAGGGGGAAACAGUGCUCCUCUGGGCUCGGCAUGCUGCGUUGUCUGCUGGGCGGCUGGCGGAGGACCAGGGCACAGAGCAGUGUUUAACUGCUCAGCUCUUGCUCUGAACAGCUGAGCUAUAAAUGCUCAUACCUCAGCCGAAGAAUAAGCAACCUAAUCUGAAAUCGUAUUCCAGUAAAAAUAAAAAUAUGUUGGGUUGGAAGAAAGAGAGUUGCAUUGCCUUUUGAUUUCACCUCCCACCUCUUUUAUUGCAAGAAUUGUAUUGCUGCUCCUCCAGCUGUGAUAACUCUUUCGGGAAUAAUAAGAGCUCUCAUCUGUCUUAAACAGACCAAUGAAAGAAUUUAUUUCUCAUGCGCUGUUUGUGAAUAUUGAGUUAAGUAAUAGCUGGCACUUAUAGACCACCUUAAUAUGCGUUAGCAUUGUACCCUCAGGGCAGUCAUUGGAGGUAAGUGUGGCAAUCAUCUUGGUUAUACAUGAGCAAAUGAAGAACCAGAGAAGCUCAGCGGUUUGUUCAAGGUCACACCGCCAGUCUAUAAGAUAAGAUGGUAUAAAGGAAAGAGGUCCAUUCUGAGGUCAGAUAGUUCUGAGUUCUUAUCUCUGUUCUGUUACUUAGUAGCUGGCUGACCUUGUUGUUUCUCCUCUCUGAGUCUACAUUUCCUAGUUAUUAAAAUGGUAUAGUAAUGCUCACUCCAUGGAUUUAUUAUCAAUUCAGUGGAACAUUUAUAUAAAAAGACAAUGUCAAAUAUACUGCUUAAUAAUUCCUUCUCCAUUUGCUCCUUUUUCUUUCUAAGAAAAACAGUUGGAGCUUGAACUCAGACCAGCUGAUCUCCCAGCCCACACUCUUUGCACCCUUCCAUGCUGCCUGCCGUCUCUACCCUCUCCCGGCUGACAGUACAGUGGCAGCCGGGAGGUGAUGCCUUCUUACAAAUCAUCUGUGAUAUAGUGAGGAAUAUCCUUGGGUACUAGAGGAACAUGCAUUUAUGCACUUAUUCAGUGAGAGAGCUCCAUGUGGAUUUAGGGGGAGGGCGGGUCCAGCUUUGAAUAUGUGCUUGUUAAAUUGUCUGUGUGAGGAGCCAAGGGGCACUGCUCAAUAGGUAGCUGGAUAUGCAGAGCUGAAGCUUGGGAAACCAAUCUGAGCUUUGGCUGCAGAUUUAUGAGUCAUCAUUGUACAAGGGAUCAGAAUAUAAUUCCGGCUUUUAUGACUCUCAGAGGUGGUGGAAACAAGGUGUGGCAGAGACAGAAAUAAUUACAAUACAAUAUAAAAUAUGACAGUCUAGAUUAAAAUAAAUCCAAGAGGACAAGAACUUUGUCCUCAUGGAGCUUAGGU
This 1978-nucleotide long non-coding RNA is filed under the name Macaca fascicularis (crab-eating macaque). Its description in RNAcentral is "lncRNA (ENSMFAG00000049569.1)". Lineage: Eukaryota; Metazoa; Chordata; Mammalia; Primates; Cercopithecidae. The record is from RNAcentral.